UUGGUCUCUAUCUUCUCUUUCUCUCCACGACAGAACCCUUCUUAUUUUUCUCUCUCCUCAAAACAACGACAAACUCUCUCUUCUCCAAUCUCCAUUGAAACUUUCUAAACCCGAUCUCUCACCUAAACUCAAACUAAAGCUCGCCUCUCUCCCACUCUCUCUCUCUCUCUCUCUCUCUCUCUCCCCCCCCCCGGCACGGCAGCAUGGCGCGCGGACGCCUUUUCUCUCUUUGACGGUGACGCCAUGAUUGAUUGACAGUGCGACAGUGUAGCAAAGCAUAGACGAUUAGACGUCUUCAAGGCUCAAGUAGAUUUCUAGGUUCGGUUUCAGUUUUCAACUUUUCGAUUUCAGAUUCUUCAAGCUUGGUAAGUUGCUAGUUGUCAAAAAAAAAAAAAAAAAAACCCCAAUCAUGCAUUUCUCUGUUUGUAGCUCAUUUUACUCAGGUAUUGCUUCAAGAUCAGGAAAAAUUUGGUGCAUUAGUUCGUCGGGUUAAGGAAAUUGGAUUUUGUUUUGAUAAUUCAACAUCUGCAGUGGCACUAGGCCAAUUGGGUACUAAAAAUAGUAAGUCCAUAAUGAAUCGAAGUCGCUGAGUUUAUAUGACGAAAUGGGGUUGGUCUGAGGAUGAUGUUCACUCUGCCUUGAAGAAGUUCCCUCAGUGUAUGUUCAAGUUGGAGAAGAAAAUAAUGCAAACAGUGGAUUUUCUGGUGAACAAGAUGGGAUUGCCUUCAGGAAUAGUUGUCAAAUUCCCACAGGUUAUGUCAGUCAAUUGAGUAUGUGGUAUUCAUGAUUUGGUCUUUCUCUUUUCCUUGAUUUUUAGUUUUGCUGGUUUUGGUACACCUUUUUACUUCCUGUUCUUUUGAUUUUAAUUUUUUUUUUCUGCACUACGUGCGUUGGUACUGAGAAUAGUAAGUCGAUAUGGAAUCGAAGUAGCCAAGUUUAUAUGAUGAGAUGGGGUUGGGGAUGAUGUUCAAUCUGCCUUCAAGAAUUUAAGUCGGAGAAGAAAAUAAUGCAAGAAAUGGUUUUUUCUUGAACAAGAUGGAAUUGCCUUCAGAAAUGAUUGUCAAAUACCCACAGGUUUUGGCAUUUAGUUUGGAGAAGCGGAUAGUCCCAAGAAGGUUAGGUCCCCAUUUUUUAAAUUUGAGGUUCCUGACCGGGUUCAGGUCCUUGUACUUGACCUGGGUUCGGAGCCUCUGGUUUUCAAAUUCAAUUUCGACGAAUGGGGACGAUGAGCCUUCACCGUCUUUGGGCAUAAGGUUGUGGGCCGCCACCACCUCCACCACAAGGCAUUCUUUGCCGGUGCUGUUGCUCACAGUCAUGGAUGGGUUUUGGUGAAGAAGAAGAAGAAAAAGAAGAAGGAAACAGAGAAAAUGAAAGAUGAAGC
This is a long non-coding RNA of Rosa chinensis, 1381 nucleotides long. RefSeq lists it as uncharacterized. The transcript has 3 exons. NCBI's taxonomy places the organism in Eukaryota, Viridiplantae, Streptophyta, Magnoliopsida, Rosales, Rosaceae. The record is from RefSeq and is a predicted model, not a curated record.